UCUUCUUCUGCACCGAGCAUCUUCCUUCUUCUUCUUUUCCUUUCUUUAUUCUUUUAUCCUCCUAUUUCUCGCCGAUCACAGACACUCAGUGAGACACAGAGAGUGGGAGCCAGAGAGUGAGAGAAGAGAGAAGCAAAGAUUGAGAGAGGGAGAGAAGCAGAAAUCGGGAGACAGAGACGGAGAGUCCGAGUGAGUGAGAGUGAGAGAUGAGAUCGAGAGGGAGAUCGGGUCAGAGAGAGAUCCGACCGUCCUGAUGAACUGACCUUUAACCAGUGAAGUCCGGCGCGAUCUCCGGCGAUUGGGGGGCUGUUUCCGGCAGUAUCUUUCCGACGGCACAGUGACGACUCCGGAAGUGUUCUUCCGGUAAUUUCAGUAGAUUUUCUGUAGAAAAUCCCUAGAUGAUGACUUGAGAGACUGCAUAAAUUGGCUGUUAAUAGACAAAGACCAGAGCUCAAGAGGUUUUAUAGCUAAGGACGCAUAGUUUAUAUUUUGUUUGUAGUUUUCUGUGUUUAUAACAUUUCAUGUUGAUAAGAUUGCUAAUAAUUUCUAUGUAUUCUUUUGUGUCUUUAUGGACACCUGUUUCCUUGUAUUUGUUAUAAGUAUUUUCUAAUGAAUAUCUAGAGGUAUUUAAUUUAAAAGCUCUGAUGUGUUAUUUAAUCCAAGCCUGUUGGAUAAAUUAUAUAUUCCGCUGCGAGAGUUAUCUCUGAUGUAGUAGCGUCACGUGGGAACCGGAGGUUUCUGCUUACGAAU
Long non-coding RNA from Alnus glutinosa, 750 nucleotides. RefSeq lists it as uncharacterized. The transcript has 3 exons. The record is from RefSeq and is a predicted model, not a curated record. NCBI's taxonomy places the organism in Eukaryota, Viridiplantae, Streptophyta, Magnoliopsida, Fagales, Betulaceae.